ACGGGCUUCGGUCUGGUGGCGAGUGGCGAACGGGUGAGUAAAGUAUCGGAACGUACCUUUCAGUGGGGGAUAACGUAGCGAAAGUUACGCUAAUACCGCAUAUUCUGUGAGCAGGAAAGCAGGGGAUCGCAAGACCUUGCGCUGAUUGAGCGGCCGAUAUCAGAUUAGCUAGUUGGUGGGGUAAAGGCCUACCAAGGCGACGAUCUGUAGCGGGUCUGAGAGGAUGAUCCGCCACACUGGAACUGAGACACGGUCCAGACUCCUACGGGAGGCAGCAGUGGGGAAUUUUGGACAAUGGGGGCAACCCUGAUCCAGCCAUGCCGCGUGAGUGAAGAAGGCCUUCGGGUUGUAAAGCUCUUUCGGCCGGGAAGAAAUCGCAUGGGCUAAUACCCUGGUGUGGAUGACGGUACCGGAAUAAGAAGCACCGGCUAACUACGUGCCAGCAGCCGCGGUAAUACGUAGGGUGCGAGCGUUAAUCGGAAUUACUGGGCGUAAAGCGUGCGCAGGCGGUUUAGUAAGACAGGCGUGAAAUCCCCGGGCUCAACCUGGGAACUGCGCUUGUGACUGCUAAGCUAGAGUAC
This 581-nucleotide ribosomal RNA is filed under the name uncultured Dechloromonas sp. RNAcentral describes it as "bacterial SSU rRNA". It matches the Rfam family "Bacterial small subunit ribosomal RNA", at positions 73 to 649 of the family's 1533-position model. Lineage: Bacteria; Pseudomonadati; Pseudomonadota; Betaproteobacteria; Rhodocyclales; Azonexaceae. The record is from RNAcentral.